GUUGAAGCUUUUAAGAAUGUGUACGAAAUAUUUGACGAAAUUGUAGUGAAAGAUUGAGUUGUUUGACUCUCAAGACAAUAAAUGUGUCAUACAGAGAGUAUAUAUGUGUUCUAGCCAGCUUUCGCGUACCUCGGGAGAUGUGUCAUCUCCCACCGGUAGGUAUCAGUGAAGGGGCUGAAGGAGUUGAAUUUUGUGUGCCCAGGCAUAUGGAACCUCAUGGCUACAGAAAGGGUAACAAAAGGAAUCUUGUUACCGUUCAAAAUGGUAACCAUAGUCCGCUGAGUAUAGAUGAGGAGCUGGAUCCAUGGACCGCUUGGGCAUACAAACCUCGUACUAUUACAUUGUUGCUUAUUGGUGCAUGUUUCCUCAUCUGGGCAAGUGGAGCUCUUGAACCGCAAAGUACUUCCUCUAGUGAUGUUGCUACUUCUGUGAAAAGGGGUGUUUGGGCAAUGGUUGCUGUUUAUCUUGCCUACUCUUUGCUGCAAGCCCCCUCAACGGUACUUAUUAGACCACAUCCUGCCAUUUGGCGCCUGGUUCAUGGAAUGGCUGUGAUUUAUCUUGUUGCUUUGACAUUUCUACUUUUUCAGAGGCGCAAUGAUGCUCGACAGUUUAUGACAUUUCUUCAUCCUGAUCUUGGCAUUGAACUUCCUGAAAAGUCUUAUGGUGCAGAUUGCAGACUCUAUGUACCUGAAAAUCCCACGAACAGGUUUAAGAAUGUUUAUGACACGUUGUUCGAUGAGUUCGUUCUGGCUCAUAUCUUAGGGUGGUGGGGCAAGGCCAUCAUGAUACGUAAUCAGCCUCUUUUAUGGGUCUUAUCUAUUGGGUUCGAGUUGAUGGAGCUUACUUUCCGCCACAUGUUACCAAACUUUAAUGAGUGCUGGUGGGACAGCAUUAUUCUGGAUAUAUUCAUCUGCAACUGGUUUGGCAUCUUGGCUGGAAUGCGUACUGUUCGAUAUUUUGAUGGAAGAACAUAUGAGUGGGUUGGUAUAAGCCGGCAGCCAAAUAUUAUGGGCAAGGUCAAGCGAACACUUGGUCAAUUUACACCUGCACAUUGGGAUAAAGAUGAAUGGCAUCCCCUCCUUGGUCCCUGGCGAUUCCUUCAAGUUCUCACUCUCUGUGUUAUUUUCUUGACUGUGGAAUUGAAUACAUUCUUUUUGAAGUUCUGUCUUUGGAUUCCUCCCAGAAACCCUCUGAUAGUGUAUAGGUUGGUUCUGUGGUGGCUACUUGCAAUACCAACAAUUCGGGAGUACAACACUUACCUACAGGACAGGACACCAGUAAAAAAGGUGGGAGCAUUUUGCUGGCUUUCUCUAGCUAUCUGCAUUGUUGAACUCCUAAUCUGCGUCAAGUUCGGACAUGGAUUGUUUCCUGACCCCAUGCCCAAUUGGUUAGUAAUUUUCUGGACAUGCACCGGCGUUGGCCUUGUGUUAUUUUUGGCUGCAUGGUCAUGGCAAUUACAUCGUACAAUGAGGAAAAAGCAGCAAUGAGUUUCUGCAGUAACUCCAUUCUUUAUUCCUUUGUGUUAUUUCGGGUAACCAACCCUCUUGUAAAUACCAAUUACCUUUUUAACUGUACAUGUUUUCUUCCUAGGUUAGGUAUUACAGUUGAAAAUGUAGUGAACCACAAUUCUUUAUCACUAGGUCACAGGUUGGUAGAUUCCCUGUUUGUGCUGCCUCAGUUUGCAGGCUCUUUCCUAAAUAAUUUUUUUACGGAGUGUAUGUUGAAACUUAGAAGUGUUGCAAUUUCAGUUCUAUAACCAGGUAUUCGAAAUUUACCCUCGCCUCAUUGCAGUUGAACUUUAUUAUUCCCAUGCAAAUUGUGUCUACUUUGCAUGUGAGGAUGUAGGGCUCUCAAAAGUUCUUAGGAACUCUUAAACCAUGCAUACUAGUCGAGCCUUAUCUUUUUCUUCCUCCACUUAUCUCAUUUCCCCCUCAAAGGGCUAUUGUUCUCUCGUAGAGCAUCGAGUCUAUGAGCGUUGGCCAAAAGGAAACACACAAAAUUUGGAACACAGAGAGUUGAGACUAUGUUUUCAUGCAUGAGGCUUCCUUUUUUCUCAUUUGGUGCUAUGCGAUGUUGUAUUAUGAGGAAGCUAAGUUUGCUCACUUCCCAUACUGAUGAGCAUGAAAGGGAUAGAAAGAACAUCUGAACUUCCACACCCUCGUAUAUUCUAUACUUUGGCUCUAGAUGGCUGGUGACUCCAAAAUUGGUUAAGAAUAAUCUGUGUCACAAACCAAGAAGUGAAUUCGAGUUGUGUUUUCUGCUCAAUCUAAGGUGUUGAUGAAGGUGGGUUGAUCAAUGUUGUCUUUCGGGCAUAUAUGGUUUUCUGAAUUACUUUCACUUUGUAUGCAACUGAUAAACUGAUUAGGCAUAGCAAUGACAAUUGAAGGAAUGAAAUCUGAUAGAAAAUA
Solanum dulcamara is the source of this 2408-nucleotide RNA transcript. It is a transcript of the gene named CDP-diacylglycerol--serine O-phosphatidyltransferase 1-like, with no coding region annotated. Lineage: Eukaryota; Viridiplantae; Streptophyta; Magnoliopsida; Solanales; Solanaceae. The transcript is spliced from 14 exons. The record is from RefSeq and is a predicted model, not a curated record.